This 497-nucleotide ribosomal RNA is filed under the name uncultured bacterium. RNAcentral describes it as "partial 16S ribosomal RNA". It matches the Rfam family "Bacterial small subunit ribosomal RNA", at positions 28 to 507 of the family's 1533-position model. The record is from RNAcentral.
GAUGAACGCUGGCGGCGUGCCUAAUACAUGCAAGUCGAGCGAACAGACGAGGAGCUUGCUCCUCUGACGUUAGCGGCGGACGGGUGAGUAACACGUGGAUAACCUACCUAUAAGACUGGGAUAACUUCGGGAAACCGGAGCUAAUACCGGAUAAUAUAUUGAACCGCAUGGUUCAAUAGUGAAAGACGGUUUUGCUGUCACUUAUAGAUGGAUCCGCGGCGCAUUAGCUAGUUGGUGAGGUAACGGGUUACCAAGGCAACGAUGCGUAGCCGACCUGAGAGGGUGAUCGGCCACAACGGAACUGAGACACGGUCCAGACUCCUACGGGAGGCAGCAGUAGGGAAUCUUCCGCAAUGGGCGAAAGCCUGACGGAGCAACGCCGCGUGAGUGAUGAAGGUCUUCGGAUCGUAAAACUCUGUUAUUAGGGAAGAACAAAUGUGUAAGUAACUAUGCACGUCUUGACGGUACCUAAUCAGAAAGCCACGGCUAACUACGUG